AGUGAACGCUGGCGGUAGGCCUAACACAUGCAAGUCGAACGGCAGCACAGGAGAGCUUGCUCUCUGGGUGGCGAGUGGCGGACGGGUGAGGAAUACAUCGGAAUCUACUCUGUCGUGGGGGAUAACGUAGGGAAACUUACGCUAAUACCGCAUACGACCUACGGGUGAAAGCAGGGGACCCUCGGGCCUUGCGCGAUUGAAUUAGCCGAUGUCGGAUUAGCUAGUUGGCGGGGUAAAGGCCCACCAAGGCGACGAUCCGUAGCUGGUCUGAGAGGAUGAUCAGCCACACUGGAACUGAGACACGGUCCAGACUCCUACGGGAGGCAGCAGUGGGGAAUAUUGGACAAUGGGCGCAAGCCUGAUCCAGCCAUACCGCGUGGGUGAAGAAGGCCUUCGGGUUGUAAAGCCCUUUUGUUGGGAAAGAAAUCCAGCUGGCUAAUACCCGGUUGGGAUGACGGUACCCAAAGAAUAAGCACCGGCUAACUUCGUGCCAGCAGCCGCAGUAA
RNAcentral lists this ribosomal RNA (506 nucleotides) under uncultured bacterium. Its description in RNAcentral is "partial 16S ribosomal RNA". It matches the Rfam family "Bacterial small subunit ribosomal RNA", at positions 29 to 523 of the family's 1533-position model. The record is from RNAcentral.